GGCGAACGGGUGAGUAACGCGUGAGCAACCUGCCUAUGACAGUGGGAUAGCCUCGGGAAACCGGGAUUAAUACCGCAUAAAAUCGUAGAAACACAUGUUUUAACGGUCAAAGAUUUAUCGGUCAUAGAUGGGCUCGCGUCUGAUUAGCUAGUUGGUGAGAUAACAGCCCACCAAGGCGACGAUCAGUAGCCGGUCUGAGAGGAUGAACGGCCACAUUGGAACUGAGACACGGUCCAAACUCCUACGGGAGGCAGCAGUGGGGAAUAUUGCACAAUGGGGGAAACCCUGAUGCAGCGACGCCGCGUGAACGAAGAAGGUAUUCGUAUCGUAAAGUUCUGUCCUAUGGGAAGAUAAUGGCAGUACCAUAGAAGAAAGCUCCGGCUAAAUACGUGCCAGCAGCCGCGGUAAUACGUAUGGAGCGAGCGUUGUCCGGAAUUAUUGGGCGUAAAGGGUACGCAGGCGGUUUAAUAAGUCGAAUGUUAAAGAUCGGGGCUCAACCCCGUAAAGCAUUGGAAACUGAUAAACUUGAGUAGUGGAGAGGAAAGUGGAAUUCCUAGUGUAGUGGUGAAAUACGUAGAUAUUAGGAGGAAUACCAGUAGCGAAGGCGACUUUCUGGACACAAACUGACGCUGAGGUACGAAAGCGUGGGGAGCAAA
RNAcentral lists this ribosomal RNA (656 nucleotides) under uncultured bacterium. RNAcentral describes it as "bacterial SSU rRNA". It matches the Rfam family "Bacterial small subunit ribosomal RNA", at positions 97 to 772 of the family's 1533-position model. The record is from RNAcentral.